This is a long non-coding RNA of Eriocheir sinensis (Chinese mitten crab), 1040 nucleotides long. RefSeq lists it as uncharacterized. NCBI's taxonomy places the organism in Eukaryota, Metazoa, Arthropoda, Malacostraca, Decapoda, Varunidae. The record is from RefSeq and is a predicted model, not a curated record. The transcript is spliced from 4 exons.
UGCAAGAAUUCGUGUUCCUCGUUGCCUGCCACCAUGAAUCCCUGGCAUAGUGAUGGAUAAGAAGUCAGAGAGUGAGCUGCAUGAGGAUUUACUGUGUUUGUGGGGGAAGUGACGUGGAUUUUGGGGUGGACAGGAUGGCGAGUGGUGGAGGAGGGAACCCGCAGCUGUUUAGUCCACGGCCUGCCUGAUGACCUGCCUGGCCUGCCCCGCGUGUCCCAAGAUCAAGUGGUGCAGUGAUGGUCCCUCGUCCUGCUUCUGUGCUAAACUACACGCCCACAACAUCCCUCCUGCUUGUAUUGGAAGACCUGAACAUCGACGGCCAAGGACUACAGUAUUACAAGAAGUCAAGAGGUGAACUGAAGAGGAAAAGUGAAGCUGGUGGUGGAAGAGGAGGAAACCGAUGAAGGCUGGACAGGCAGCAUCAGGUGGUGGUGCUCCCCUACCCUGGCCUCCACUCCCCUGCCUCAGCACCCCACGAAGGCACGGCAAGGCUGGUCCACUGGAGUGCCUUGCCUUGUGAUAGCAGCGCCACCACAGGACUCCUCUGGGCAGACCCUGUGGUGGCGCUGAGGACACGAGACAUGCACCUCAGCGGCCAGCCUUGUGUUUCCUUGGUGGGGGACCGAGAGAGAGGAGAUGGAGGCCAGUGUUUGAAGGGGACACCAUACCUGCUGCCUUGGGAAUCUGGAGGUGGAAAUGAAGAAGAGGAACAGCAGCCCAGAAGAGAGAAAGACAUCGACAGAAGACCUCAUUACACCAUUUAUCAUCACAGGGGGUAUAAUGAAAUAUUGGUGAGGGUGUAGCAGCAAGCACGGGCAAGGUCUUUAGGGCAUCAGUACUGGGCUUGGCAGAAGAGGCAGUGCAGGACCUUUUCUUCAGUCUCGUUCCGUCUUGGCAGCGGCUUAAAAGAGAGGAAGGAUUGUUGCACCUCUUCUUAUUCCAUCUUCGUAACUGCUGCCUGAAGAGGAUGGAUAUUGUUUGUACUUCUUGUAAUGCCGUUCCUUCACCUUCGGAGCCCAAUAAACCUGCGGAAAAGUGAA